GUCAGUGUGGUGUAGUGGUUUGAGUGUUGGACUACCACUCUGGAGACCUGGGUUUGAUUUCCCCACUCUGCCA
This is a non-coding RNA of Phrynosoma platyrhinos (Desert horned lizard), 73 nucleotides long. NCBI's taxonomy places the organism in Eukaryota, Metazoa, Chordata, Lepidosauria, Squamata, Phrynosomatidae. The record is from the annotation of a GenBank genome assembly.